CUGGCUCAGGAUGAACGCUAGCUACAGGCUUAACACAUGCAAGUCGAGGGGCAGCAUGGCUAGCUUGCUAAGAUGAUGGCGACCGGCGCACGGGUGAGUAACGCGUAUCCAACCUUCCCUAUAGUAGGGGAUAGCCCGUAGAAAUGCGGAUUAAUACCCUAUGUUGUAUUUAGAUGACAUCUGACGAAUACCAAAGGUUCACCGCUAUAGGAUGGGGAUGCGUCUGAUUAGGUAGUCGGCGGGGUAACGGCCCACCGAGCCAACGAUCAGUAGGGGUUCUGAGAGGAAGGUCCCCCACAUUGGAACUGAGACACGGUCCAAACUCCUACGGGAGGCAGCAGUGAGGAAUAUUGGUCAAUGGGCGAGAGCCUGAACCAGCCAAGUAGCGUGCCAGGAUGACGGCCCUAUGGGUUGUAAACUGCUUUUAUGCGGGGAUAAAGUGAGGGACGUGUCUCUUAUUGUAGGUACCGCAUGAAUAAGGACCGGCUAAUUCCGUGCCAGCCGCGGC
This 508-nucleotide ribosomal RNA is filed under the name uncultured bacterium. RNAcentral's name for it is "bacterial SSU rRNA". It matches the Rfam family "Bacterial small subunit ribosomal RNA", at positions 19 to 518 of the family's 1533-position model. The record is from RNAcentral.